This 497-nucleotide ribosomal RNA is filed under the name uncultured bacterium. Its description in RNAcentral is "partial 16S ribosomal RNA". It matches the Rfam family "Bacterial small subunit ribosomal RNA", at positions 28 to 507 of the family's 1533-position model. The record is from RNAcentral.
GAUGAACGCUGGCGGCGUGCCUAAUACAUGCAAGUCGAGCGAACAGACGUGGAGCUUGUUCCUCUGACGUUAGCGGCGGACGGGUGAGUAACACGUGGAUAACCUACCUAUAAGACUGGGACAACUUCGGGAAACCGGUGCUAAUACCGGAUAAUAUAUUGAACCGCAUGGUUCAAUAGUGAAAGACGGUUUUGCUGCCACUAAUGGAUGUACCCGCGCCGCAUUAGCUAGUUGGUAAGGUAACGGCUUACCAAGGCGACGAUGCGUAGCCGACCUGAGAGGGUGAUCGGCCACACUGGAACUGAGACACGGUCCAGACUCCUACGGGAGGCAGCAGUAGGGAAUCUUCCGCAAUGGGCGAAAGCCUGACGGAGCAACGCCGCGUGAGUGAUGAAGGUCUUCGGAUCGUAAAACUCUGUUAUUAGGGAAGAACAAAUGUGUAAGUAACUAUGCACGUCUUGACGGUACCUAAUCAGAAAGCCACGGCUAACUACGUG